UUAACGGUUGUCCGGCUAUUGAAACUGUUAAACCUUGAGUUAGAUAGAGGCGAGUGGAAUUCCAUGUGUAGCGGUAAAAUGCGUAAAUAUAUGGAGGAACCCCAGAGGCGUAGCGGCUCGCUGGGUCUUAACUGACGCUGAGGCACGAAAGCGUGGGGAGCAAACAGGAUUAGAUACCCUGGUAGUCCACGCCGUAAACGAUGAGUACUAAGUGUCGGGUUAAACCGGUACUGAAGUUAACACAUUAAGUACUCCGCCUGAGUAGUACGUACGCAAGUAUGAAACUUAAAGGAAUUGACGGGACUCCGCACAAGCGGUGGAUCAUGUUGUUUAAUUCGAAGAUACCCGAAAAACCUUACCAGGUCUUGACAUGUUUUUGCAAAAUGAUAGUAAUAUCGUGGAGGUUACCAGAAACACAGGUGGUGCAUGGUUGUCGUCAGUUCGUGUCGUGAGAUGUUAGGUUAAGUCCUAAAACGAGCGAAACCCUCAUCGUUAGGUUGCCAGCACGUUAUGGUGGGGACUUUAACGAGACUGCCAAUGAUAAAUUGGAGGAAGGUGAGGAUCACGUCAAAUCAGCAUGCCCCUUAUGACCUGGGCUACAAACGUGAUACAAUGGCUGUUAAAGGGUAGCUGAAACGCAAGUUCUUGGCCAAUCCCCAAAAACAGUCCCAGUCCGGAUUGAAGUCUGCAACUCGACUUCAUGAAGUUGGAAUCGCUAGUAAUCGCGAAUCAGCAUGUCGCGGUGAAUACGUUCUCGGGGUUUGUACACACCGCCCGUCAAACCACGAAAGUUGGCAAUACCCCAAAACGGUAGCCUAACUCGUUUAUUCGAGAGGGCGCCGUCUAAGGUAGGGUCGAUGAUUGGGGUUAAGUCGUAACAAGGUAUCCCUACCGGAAGGUGGGGAUGGAU
This 910-nucleotide ribosomal RNA is filed under the name Sugarcane phytoplasma type H. RNAcentral describes it as "bacterial SSU rRNA". It matches the Rfam family "Bacterial small subunit ribosomal RNA", at positions 609 to 1523 of the family's 1533-position model. Lineage: Bacteria; Bacillati; Mycoplasmatota; Mollicutes; Acholeplasmatales; Acholeplasmataceae. The record is from RNAcentral.